GACGAACGCUGGCGGCGUGCUUAACACAUGCAAGUCGAACGCUGAAGCUCAGCUUUUGUUGGGUGGAUGAGUGGCGAACGGGUGAGUAACACGUGAGUAACCUGCCUCCUUCUUUGGGAUAACGCCCGGAAACGGGUGCUAAUACUGGAUAUUCACUGGUCUUCGCAUGGGGGUUGGUGGAAAGGGUUUUUCUGGUGGGGGAUGGGCUCGCGGCCUAUCAGCUUGUUGGUGGGGUGAUGGCCUACCAAGGCUUUGACGGGUAGCCGGCCUGAGAGGGUGACCGGUCACAUUGGGACUGAGAUACGGCCCAGACUCCUACGGGAGGCAGCAGUGGGGAAUAUUGCACAAUGGGCGCAAGCCUGAUGCAGCGACGCCGCGUGAGGGAUGGAGGCCUUCGGGUUGUGAACCUCUUUCGCUCAUGGUCAAGCCGCAACAAUGGUUGUGGUGAGGGUAGUGGGUAAAGAGGCGCCGGCUAACUACGUG
Molecule: ribosomal RNA, 483 nt
Filed under: uncultured bacterium
Lineage: Bacteria
Description: partial 16S ribosomal RNA
Rfam family: Bacterial small subunit ribosomal RNA
Source: RNAcentral